This 243-nucleotide unclassified non-coding RNA is filed under the name Hevea brasiliensis (rubber tree). Lineage: Eukaryota; Viridiplantae; Streptophyta; Magnoliopsida; Malpighiales; Euphorbiaceae. The record is from RNAcentral.
UUUUCAGAUGCAGAAGCUUCCUGAGAACCAGUGCUUGCUAAUAAUUCAGUGGGCUGCACAUCAGUAUGUCCAGGACACUUGGAGGCAGAAGGAAUAUUUUCUCUGACAGAAAGGUCACUGCCAGAGGUACUAGAUGUCACCCAUGUAAACUUCAAGUUGUUGCCUUGCCAACAACUGCCAUUUAAAAACGCCCUCUCAGCUGAACGGCGAGUUGUGAAAGUCAAGCGGGCUGAGCAAUUUUUU